This 274-nucleotide ribosomal RNA is filed under the name uncultured bacterium. Its description in RNAcentral is "partial 16S ribosomal RNA". It matches the Rfam family "Bacterial small subunit ribosomal RNA", at positions 523 to 796 of the family's 1533-position model. The record is from RNAcentral.
AUACGGAGGGAGCGAGCGUUAAUCGGAAUUACUGGGCGUAAAGCGCGCGUAGGCGGCUUUGUAAGUCGGAUGUGAAAGCCCUGGGCUCAACCUGGGAAUGGCAUUCGAUACUGCAGAGCUAGAGUAUGGUAGAGGGAAGUGGAAUUUCCGGUGUAGCGGUGAAAUGCGUAGAUAUCGGAAGGAACACCAGUGGCGAGGGCGACUUCCUGGGCCAAUACUGACGCUGAGGUGCGAAAGCGUGGGGAGCAAACAGGAUUAGAUACCCCAGUAGUCC